This 301-nucleotide ribosomal RNA is filed under the name uncultured bacterium. RNAcentral describes it as "partial 16S ribosomal RNA". It matches the Rfam family "Bacterial small subunit ribosomal RNA", at positions 509 to 807 of the family's 1533-position model. The record is from RNAcentral.
CAGUAGCCGCGGUAAUACGGAGGGAGCUAGCGUUGUUCGGAAUUACUGGGCGUAAAGCGCACGUAGGCGGCUUUGUAAGUCAGAGGUGAAAGCCUGGAGCUCGACUCCAGAACUGCCUUUGAGACUGCAUCGCUUGAAUCCAGGAGAGGUGAGUGGAAUUCCGAGUGUAGAGGUGAAAUUCGUAGAUAUUCGGAAGAACACCAGUGGCGAAGGCGACACACUGGGUCAUUACUGACGCUGAGGCGCGAAAGCGUGGGGAGCAAACAGGAUUAGAUACCCCAGUAGUCCCUGUCUCUUAUAC